CCUACGGGAGGCAGCAGUGAGGAAUAUUGGUCAAUGGGCGGAAGCCUGAACCAGCCAAGUAGCGUGCAGGAUGACGGCCCUACGGGUUGUAAACUGCUUUUAUACGGGAAUAACGCGCCUUACGUGUAGGGCUUUGCAUGUACUGUAUGAAUAAGGAUCGGCUAAUUCCGUGCCAGCAGCCGCGGUAAUACGGAAGGUCCGGGCGUUAUCCGGAUUUAUUGGGUUUAAAGGGAGCGUAGGCGGCUUGUCAAGCGUGCUGUGAAAUGUCCGGGCUCAACCCGGGCCUUGCAGCGCAAACUGGCAUGCUUGAGUCCGCGGAAGGCAGGCGGAAUUCGUCGUGUAGCGGUGAAAUGCUUAGAUAUGACGAAGAACCCCGAUUGCGAAGGCAGCUUGCUGCAGCGGAACUGACGCUGAUGCUCGAAAGCGCGGGUAUCGAACAGGAUUAGAUACCCGGGUAGUC
Molecule: ribosomal RNA, 460 nt
Filed under: uncultured bacterium
Lineage: Bacteria
Description: partial 16S ribosomal RNA
Rfam family: Bacterial small subunit ribosomal RNA
Source: RNAcentral